Molecule: long non-coding RNA, 1385 nt
Organism: Arvicola amphibius (Eurasian water vole)
Lineage: Eukaryota; Metazoa; Chordata; Mammalia; Rodentia; Cricetidae
Exons: 3
Source: RefSeq, a predicted model, not a curated record
ACAAAGGCGUGGGCAGCUGCACAGCUAGGGUUCCCUAGAGAGCCAGAGCCCAUAGUACGUACGUAUUGUAAAAGGUGGUUUAUCCACUUGAAAACUGGGGCGUCCGGCAACAGCCCCAUUAUAUGAUACAGUGACAGAGACCUGAGAGGCUUCUCAACCCAAAAGGCUGGAGGCUCCAUUGUCUGUCUCUCCAACACCGAGGCCGGAAGUUCCUCGGAUCCAGAAGAAACUAAGAGUCUGAGCCCGCAGGCAGGUGAUUGAUGGCAGCUGUGGCGGGAGUUUGUACUUGGGAAACCAGAGCUAUGUGCUCAGAUAUUUGUUGUGGCAGGAAGAAAGCUGACUGAAGGAAUCUCCACUAUGAUAACUCAAUGGCACGAGCAACAAAGAAAAGAGAUCAAGCUGACCGGUGGGACUUAAGAGCAUGAGGGCUUGAAAGACUCAAGAGUGUGAAGACACCUUGCGGAAGAGGUGGCCUAGCUGCAAAUUACACAUCUACUGGUGGACUCCAUCUGACAAAGGACUCAGGACUCAGAAAAGACAAGAGGGACAAAAGAUGAGCAGAAAGCUCUCCAGCAACCAAAUGGCCAGCCAGUAGGAAUAAGAGCAGGUGCGAAGCCUCAUUAGCCUCCAGGGGAGUGAAAUCAAAGCCUGCGGAGAGGUCCCCUUCUACUAGGAUGGUGCAGUUCCAAAAGUUCUAGAAGUGUUGGUGAGGAAGAAGGGUCUGAACUCUGCUCGUGCUCCUCAGUGAAUACUGAUCACACCUCUCCAAACGCCAACUGGAGCGGUUCAUUGCCAUAGGCCACGAUGCUGGGGUUUUCUAUAUACCUCCUUGUGAAGCCAGCAGCAGCAAUGAAGAGCACUAAAGACACCUCCGCUUGGUCCCCCCGCUACAUACUACACCAACAAUAACUGUGCUUUGUGGGAGUUUUGAUGACCUGCUAGACCUGCACAGUGCAUCUAUCUAGCUGUCAAGGAUUCCUAUGGUCUCUGACGAUGUCAUGGAGUUUGUCCAGGAAAGGUAAAGACAGCCUGCACCUCCUCAGUAAAUGUGUGCCUAAACGCAGCCUUUUCACAUGUCUUGUAGAAUCUGUUACACUGGUUAUCUUUUUUGGUAAACACUAAAAGUAUCUGAAGAUGGUCUUGAUGAAAUAUCAUCACGCCAAUUGCACAUCAGUUACUGAUACCUUCAAGGUGCUGCUCUUGUGAGGCUGAGGCUCCACGGAUCCUGGCACAGCCAAAGCUGGGUGCAGUGACCACCACCAUCUAGACCGCGCGUCCUCGUCCUCACUGAGGAUGCUUGCUUUUAAUCUCAGCACUUGAGAGGCAGAGGCAGGUGGAUCUCUAAGUUUGAGGCCAGUUGAGUCUACAGAAUGAGAUCCAGGACA